Molecule: ribosomal RNA, 408 nt
Filed under: uncultured bacterium
Lineage: Bacteria
Description: partial 16S ribosomal RNA
Rfam family: Bacterial small subunit ribosomal RNA
Source: RNAcentral
GACGAACGCUGGCGGCGUGCUUAACACAUGCAAGUCGAACGAAGUGGCGAACGGGUGAGUAACGCGUAAUCAACCUGCCCUUUAGAGGGGGACAACAGUUGGAAACGACUGCUAAUACUGCUUACUGAAGGAGGGGAUUGCGUCUGAUUAGCUAGUUGGCGGGGUAACGGCCCACCAAGGCGAUGAUCAGUAGCCGGGCUGAGAAGAUGAACAGCCACAGUGGGACUGUGACACAGCCCAGAAUCCUACGGGAGGCAGCAAUGGGGAGUCUUCCGCAAUGGACGGAAUUCUGACGGAGCAACGCCGCGUGAGUGAUGACGGCCUUCGGGUUGUAAAGCUCUGUUAAUCGGGACGCGGUACCGGAAUAGAAAGCCACGGCUAACUACGUGCCAGCCGCCGCGGUAAUAC